Molecule: ribosomal RNA, 201 nt
Filed under: uncultured bacterium
Lineage: Bacteria
Description: partial 16S ribosomal RNA
Rfam family: Bacterial small subunit ribosomal RNA
Source: RNAcentral
ACGCUCGACACCUACAGGAGGCAGCAGUGGGGAAUAUUGGGCAAUGGGCGCAAGCCUGACCCAGCAACGCCGCGUGAAGGAAGAAGGCCCUCGGGUUGUAAACUUCUUUUAACAGGGACGAAGUAAGUGACGGUACCUGUUGAAUAAGCCACGGCUAACUACGUGCUAGCAGCCGCGGUAAUCUGAGCGGGCUGGCAAGGC